RNAcentral lists this unclassified non-coding RNA (329 nucleotides) under soil metagenome. RNAcentral describes it as "partial contains 5.8S ribosomal RNA, internal transcribed spacer 2, and large subunit ribosomal RNA". The stretch from base 1 to 120 matches the Rfam family "5.8S ribosomal RNA", at positions 35 to 154 of the family's 154-position model. The record is from RNAcentral.
GAUGAAGAACGUAGCGAAAUGCGAUAAGUAGUGUGAAUUGCAGAAUUCAGUGAAUCAUCGAAUCUUUGAACGCACAUUGCGCCCCUUGGUAUCCCGAGGGGCAUGCCUGUUCGAGCGUCAUUUCGCCACUCAAGCCUGGCUUGGUGUUGGGCGACGUCCCCUUUGGGGACGCGCCUCGAAACGCUCGGCGGCGUGGCACCGGCUUUAAGCGUAGCAGAAUCUUUCGCUUUGGAAGUCGGGGCCCCGUCUGCCGGAAGACCUACUCGCAAGGUUGACCUCGGAUCAGGCAGGGAUACCCGCUGAACUUAAGCAUAUCAAUAAGCGGAGGA